GCGGUAUCGCGUACGGCACGCAGGUGACUUCUAAACUCACCGUUUCCGGGUUCGAGUCCCGGAUACCGCGC
RNAcentral lists this transfer RNA (71 nucleotides) under Mycobacterium phage Phabba. RNAcentral's name for it is "tRNA-Arg". It matches the Rfam family "tRNA". Rfam says of the family: Transfer RNA (tRNA) molecules are approximately 80 nucleotides in length. Their secondary structure includes four short double-helical elements and three loops (D, anti-codon, and T loops). Lineage: Duplodnaviria; Heunggongvirae; Uroviricota; Caudoviricetes. The record is from RNAcentral.